CCGGCGGGGCGCCCGCCUCGUCGGCCUGACACCGGUACCUGACACGGCCGGUGCAG
This is a non-coding RNA of Streptomyces xiaopingdaonensis, 56 nucleotides long. NCBI's taxonomy places the organism in Bacteria, Bacillati, Actinomycetota, Actinomycetes, Kitasatosporales, Streptomycetaceae. The record is from Rfam.